GCGUGGAAUGGUCUGUCUGGUUAAUUCCGAUAACGCACGAGACCUCAGCCGAUAGUUUACGGGUUUGCCGUUCCUCCGGGGACGACGAACGGGUCACCGUGUUUACCAUCGGUGAGCACGACGGCCCUUACCGAACACAACCUAUCGGGAUCGCACGCGUCUCAUACACUAGCGUGAUGAAAGGUGAGGCUAUAACA
Molecule: ribosomal RNA, 197 nt
Filed under: uncultured eukaryote
Lineage: Eukaryota
Description: partial 18S ribosomal RNA
Rfam family: Eukaryotic small subunit ribosomal RNA
Source: RNAcentral